Long non-coding RNA from Scomber scombrus (Atlantic mackerel), 296 nucleotides. RefSeq lists it as uncharacterized. The record is from RefSeq and is a predicted model, not a curated record. NCBI's taxonomy places the organism in Eukaryota, Metazoa, Chordata, Actinopteri, Scombriformes, Scombridae. The transcript has 3 exons.
CAGAGCAGAACUACUACAAGAGCAGCAUGGAGGAGAACCAGAACCCGGACUCACCCUCUGCUACCACCGAUAAACAGAGCUGAGAUUCCUGCCUUCCUGUUGGCCAAAUACAUUGCGGCCGAGCUCGGACUCGUACCGUGUCCCAGGUGGAACCGCAGACCGAAAGCAUCGAGGACAGACGCUGCUCAGUCCUGCAGCAGCAACCAGCAGCCUCUCAACAGGAAACUCUGCAGCCAGAAAACAUCCAGCUCUGUCGAUCAGUCUGAAGCCUCCACGUCUGCAGACGGUUGAUCCAA